GAUGAACGCUGGCGGCGUGCCUAAUACAUGCAAGUCGAGCGAACGGACGAGAAGCUUGCUUCUCUGACGUUAGCGGCGGACGGGUGAGUAACACGUGGAUAACCUACCUAUAAGACUGGGAUAACUUCGGGAAACCGGAGCUAAUACCGGAUAAUAUUUUGAACCGCAUGGUUCAAAAGUGAAAGACGGUCUUGCUGUCACUUAUAGAUGGAUCCGCGCUGCAUUAGCUAGUUGGUAAGGUAACGGCUUACCAAGGCAACGAUGCAUAGCCGACCUGAGAGGGUGAUCGGCCACACUGGAACUGAGACACGGUCCAGACUCCUACGGGAGGCAGCAGUAGGGAAUCUUCCGCAAUGGGCGAAAGCCUGACGGAGCAACGCCGCGUGAGUGAUGAAGGUCUUCGGAUCGUAAAACUCUGUUAUUAGGGAAGAACAUAUGUGUAAGUAACUAUGCACGUCUUGACGGUACCUAAUCAGAAAGCCACGGCUAACUACGUG
Molecule: ribosomal RNA, 497 nt
Filed under: uncultured bacterium
Lineage: Bacteria
Description: partial 16S ribosomal RNA
Rfam family: Bacterial small subunit ribosomal RNA
Source: RNAcentral